RNAcentral lists this ribosomal RNA (425 nucleotides) under uncultured bacterium. RNAcentral's name for it is "partial 16S ribosomal RNA". It matches the Rfam family "Bacterial small subunit ribosomal RNA", at positions 354 to 796 of the family's 1533-position model. The record is from RNAcentral.
GUGGGGAAUCUUGCGCAAUGGGCGAAAGCCUGACGCAGCCAUGCCGCGUGAAUGAUGAAGGUCUUAGGAUUGUAAAAUUCUUUCACCGGGGACGAUAAUGACGGUACCCGGAGAAGAAGCCCCGGCUAACUUCGUGCCAGCAGCCGCGGUAAUACGAAGGGGGCUAGCGUUGCUCGGAAUUACUGGGCGUAAAGGGCGCGUAGGCGGACAGUUUAGUCAGAGGUGAAAGCCGAGGGCUCAACGUUGGAAUUGCCUUUGAUACGGGGUGUAUUGAGUACGGGAGAGGUGAGUGGAACUCCGAGUGUAGAGGUGAAAUUCGUAGAUAUUCGGAAGAACACCAGUGGCGAAGGCGACUCACUGGCCCAAUACUGACGCUGAGGCGCGAAAGCGUGGGGAGCAAACAGGAUUAGAAACCCUAGUAGUCC